AUCCCUGCGUUGUGCGGCAGAUAAGCAAUUAUUUAAUCCAACACUUUUUGAAUUGGGAAUCCGGACGCGGUCGGCGGAUUGCAGACCUCCCGGCCCUCGGGCCGGACGAAGGGAGCGCGAAACCGACUGGAGGAUACCCACCUGUCUUCGUACGGGUUUCAUUAAGGCUUAUCACCGGCAAGGCGGGGAUU
This 191-nucleotide non-coding RNA is filed under the name Harryflintia acetispora. Its description in RNAcentral is "6S / SsrS RNA". It matches the Rfam family "6S / SsrS RNA". Rfam says of the family: E. coli 6S RNA was the first non coding RNA to be sequenced, but its function was unknown until recently. It consists of 184 nucleotides that fold into an extended hairpin structure with a large single-stranded internal bulge. The record is from RNAcentral. Lineage: Bacteria; Bacillati; Bacillota; Clostridia; Eubacteriales; Oscillospiraceae.